UAGGGAGACCUAAUCCAUUUAGAAAUCGAAAACAAUGAAAAUUGUCAAUAGAAACUAAAUUGGUCUAACCUAGGUCGUUCGAGAUUGGUAGACAUCUUUCAAAGUAUUAUUCGGCUUCGUUCAAAACCAUAUAUAAUAAAUGGAAAAAGACAGCACCUAAUUGUCAAAGUUAGACUGCUGGAUGAAGUUCCAGCCAGAACCUUGAAAACUGCGUAAGAGAACAAGAAAAAGCAGGCAGACACAGACAUUUAGAUGGAUGUGGAAGCAAAAGAAAUUGU
Molecule: unclassified non-coding RNA, 278 nt
Filed under: uncultured Anabaena sp.
Lineage: Bacteria; Bacillati; Cyanobacteriota; Cyanophyceae; Nostocales; Nostocaceae
Description: partial 16S-23S ribosomal RNA intergenic spacer
Source: RNAcentral